Molecule: ribosomal RNA, 999 nt
Filed under: uncultured bacterium
Lineage: Bacteria
Description: bacterial SSU rRNA
Rfam family: Bacterial small subunit ribosomal RNA
Source: RNAcentral
GUGCCAGCAGCCGCGGUAAUACGUAGGGGGCAAGCGUUGUCCGGAAUGAUUGGGCGUAAAGGGCGCGUAGGCGGCCCUUUAAGUCCGAUGUGAAAGUCCUGCUUUUAAGGUGGGAAUUGCAUUGGAAACUGGAAGGCUUGAGUGCAGGAGAGGUAAGUGGAAUUCCCGGUGUAGCGGUGAAAUGCGUAGAGAUCGGGAGGAACACCAGUGGCGAAGGCGACUUACUGGACUGUAACUGACGCUGAGGCGCGAAAGUGUGGGGAGCAAACAGGAUUAGAUACCCUGGUAGUCCACACGGUAAACGAUGAGUGCUAGGUGUAGGAGGUAUCGACCCCUUCUGUGCCGGAGUCAACACAAUAAGCACUCCGCCUGGGGAGUACGGCCGCAAGGUUGAAACUCAAAGGAAUUGACGGGGGCCCGCACAAGCAGCGGAGCAUGUUGUUUAAUUUGAAGCAACGCGAAGAACCUUACCAGGUCUUGACAUCCAGUAAAACUUGUAGAGAUAUAAGGUGGGCUUGCCCAUACUGAGACAGGUGGUGCAUGGUUGUCGUCAGCUCGUGUCGUGAGAUGUUGGGUUAAGUCCCGCAACGAGCGCAACCCUUGUGAUUAGUUACUAACGCGUAAUGGCGAGGACUCUAAUAAGACUGCCGGGGACAACUCGGAGGAAGGUGGGGACGACGUCAAAUCAUCAUGCCCCUUAUGACCUGGGCUACAAACGUGCUACAAUGGCCACCACAGAGAGCAGCGAACUCGUAAGGGUAAGCGAAUCUCAUAAAAGUGGUCCCAGUUCGGAUUGUGGGCUGCAACCCGCCCACAUGAAGUCGGAGUUGCUAGUAAUCGCGAAUCAGCAUGUCGCGGUGAAUACGUUCCCGGGCCUUGUUCACACCGCCCGUCACACCAUGGGAGUUGAUAGCGCCCGAAGUCGGUGAGGCAACCGUAAGGAGUCAGCCGCCUAAGGCGAGAUCAAUGACUGGGGUGAAGUCGUAACAAGGUAACCGU